UGAUCCCGUGACGCCGCCCGCUCCGCCGCCGCCCAAUCCCCGCCGCGCGCCCCGCGCCCCGCGUGCCGAUGAUGUCAGAGUCGCCCAAUCGGAGCCCGGCAGGCAUCGCGGCUCCUCCUGGCGUGACCGAGCCCGGCCGUGACGGCUCCCGCCAUUGGCCCGAUUCGAAAUUCGCCCCCUCCUGAUUGGAGGGCUGGGCGGCAGGCUAUUUUUAGCAGGAUGUGCAUAAACAGUUGUUGAGAAAAAACCGGUCUGUGAUCCCCAUCAGCACCCAGAAACAGUAUUAGAACAAAAGAUACCAACAGAUGAUCCUUCUUCAUGCACGUGUACCACAGAAUGUCCUUCUUGAGUCUGCAUACCUUCACCUUGAAGACGGGUACACUUUCUGCUCCUGUAGCAGACACUGGAAAGCACGUACAGCGUGAAAGAAAUAGAGUGAAAGGUCCUGGCAAGAUGCCCAUCCUACUUCUCGGAUAAAGGGUAUGGGGGACCUACUACAUAUCAUGUUGGGACAGCAGUUACACCAGACCCUGAGCAUAUGAAAUGGAGGCCAUCUGGACAUCUGGAUAAUGUUUCAUUGUGCAGCUGAAAAUUUGCAUUCAUCAUUUAAGGACUGUGAACAUCUCAGAGAGUUUGUUUGGCUGAAGUCAAUCAAUUCCUUAGAAAGAAGAAAUAUCCAAGUCUCCUGGAGUAAGUAUGGCAUAAACUGAGGCCAAAUUUGACUAUGUGAAUUCAAAGCAGCCAUUCUUGUUUUAUCAAGAAAAUUAUCCACUUUCCCAAUCUCUAUAAGCAUACUGAUUUUCUGAGUUAUCUUGCAUGUCUGUAAGUGCAUUUUAAAGUAUUUUAAAAUAUCAUUAAAUAACAUUAUGUAUUUCAACAGAGAGCUAUGGUCAGAUCAGUUGUUUUUUCUUAUGAGUCCAUAAUGUACAACCUACCAGCUUGGGGCUUUGAUUACUAUGUAGUCUUUGUCUUACUUAUGGAA
This 982-nucleotide long non-coding RNA is filed under the name Anser brachyrhynchus (Pink-footed goose). RNAcentral's name for it is "lncRNA (ENSABRG00000016624.1)". Lineage: Eukaryota; Metazoa; Chordata; Aves; Anseriformes; Anatidae. The record is from RNAcentral.